GCCGUCAUAGCUCAAUUGGUAGAGCACUGGCCUGAAAACCCAGUGGCCGAGGUUCGAUUCCUCGUGUCGGCAC
Molecule: transfer RNA, 73 nt
Filed under: Mycobacterium phage IkeLoa
Lineage: Duplodnaviria; Heunggongvirae; Uroviricota; Caudoviricetes
Description: tRNA-Phe
Rfam family: tRNA
About the family: Transfer RNA (tRNA) molecules are approximately 80 nucleotides in length. Their secondary structure includes four short double-helical elements and three loops (D, anti-codon, and T loops).
Source: RNAcentral